AAAAAUGGUAGGAGAACAACAGGGAUUGCCUUAGUAACGGCGAGUGAAGCGGCAAUAGCUCAAAUUUGAAAUCUGGCUCUUUUAGAGUCCGAGUUGUAAUUUGUAGAGGAUGUUUCGGCUUACGCCUCGGUCUAAGUUCCUUGGAACAGGACGUCACAGAGGGUGAGAAUCCCGUUUGUGGCCGAUGGCUUCUGCCAUGUGAAACUCCUUCGACGAGUCGAGUUGUUUGGGAAUGCAGCUCUAAAUGGGAGGUAAAUUUCUUCUAAAGCUAAAUAUUGGCCAGAGACCGAUAGCGCACAAGUAGAGUGAUCGAAAGAUGAAAAGCACUUUGGAAAGAGAGUUAAAAAGUACGUGAAAUUGUUGAAAGGGAAGCGCUUGCGACUAGACUUGCCUACAGUUGCUCCAUCGGUCCUUCGACCGGUGUAUUCUUCUGUGGUCAGGCCAGCAUCAGUUCGGGUGGUUGGAUAAAGGCCUUAGGAAUGUGACUCUCUUCGGGGAGUGUUAUAGCCUUCGGUGCAAUACAGCCUGCCUGGACUGAGGACCGCGCUUCGGCUAGGAUGCUGGCGUAAUGGUCGUAAGCGGCCCGUCUUGAAACACGGACCAAGGAGUCUAACAUCUAUGCGAGUGUUUGGGUGUCAAACCCGUGCGCGAAAUGAAAGUGAACGGAGGUGGGAACCUUAGGGUGCACCAUCGACCGAUCCUGAUGUCUUCGGAUGGAUUUGAGUAAGAGCAUAGCUGUUGGGACCCGAAAGAUGGUGAACUAUGCCUGAAUAGGGUGAAGCCAGAGGAAACUCUGGUGGAGGCUCGCAGCGGUUCUGACGUGCAAAUCGAUCGUCAAAUUUGGGUAUAGGGGCGAAAGACUAAUCGAACCAUUAACCAGGAAACAAAUAAUUUUUCUUAAUUAUUUGCUACUAGGUGGUUAAGAGGCGGCU
RNAcentral lists this ribosomal RNA (932 nucleotides) under Tubeufiaceae sp. MFLUCC10-0120. Its description in RNAcentral is "eukaryotic LSU rRNA". It matches the Rfam family "Eukaryotic large subunit ribosomal RNA", at positions 45 to 1006 of the family's 3401-position model. The record is from RNAcentral. Lineage: Eukaryota; Fungi; Ascomycota; Dothideomycetes; Tubeufiales; Tubeufiaceae.